UUUUAUUAGCGUUAUUUUACUAAUUUUUAUACCCCUGCCUAAGUCUCCUGCUAAGCGUGUCACACGACUAUAUACUUAUCGGAAAACUGUUAAAUUUGAAGGUUUUGCGGAUGACUCAUCGGAUGACUCAUAUUUUUUGUUCUUUAUACGGUUUGCUUACGUUGUUUUGGUUAUAAUAAUGGUAAUUUUAUUUCACGUUUUCUGAUACAGUAUUUGAUAGAGUUAAUUUUACAGUUAUUUAUAUUUUUCCAUAUAGAAUUAUACUACCAUUGACACUUGUUCUGGCUCUCUUAUCAGUAGCCUAAUCAGCAUCUGAAGACAACUAUCCAGGGUUCAUUAGUUGGACAAUCUAGAAACCUACUUAAAUAGGAUACUGCAUAACCAAUGUCUGGUCUACUGUUCUCUAUCCUCCUGUCAACUGCCUAUAGAGUAUAUUAACACAUGUCGCUCUGGGUUUUGAGUAUAUUAUUCACUGAAUAUUCUGUAAUAAAGUAAAUGUAAUAAAAGUUUCACCCGGUCUAUAAACA
This is a long non-coding RNA of Anthonomus grandis grandis, 527 nucleotides long. RefSeq lists it as uncharacterized. The transcript is spliced from 2 exons. The record is from RefSeq and is a predicted model, not a curated record. NCBI's taxonomy places the organism in Eukaryota, Metazoa, Arthropoda, Insecta, Coleoptera, Curculionidae.